This is an unclassified non-coding RNA of Pogonomyrmex barbatus (red harvester ant), 3866 nucleotides long. NCBI's taxonomy places the organism in Eukaryota, Metazoa, Arthropoda, Insecta, Hymenoptera, Formicidae. The record is from RefSeq and is a predicted model, not a curated record.
GGGAUCUUGUCCGCCGCGGGUUCCCGCGGCGCGGUGCUUUAGUACCGCCAGUCUCGCCGUUCCGCGCGGAACUUGGACUCCCGGAAUAGUUCCGCGGCGCUCUGAAAGUUUUCCGCCGCGCCUCGAAAUCGGAAAUCAAAACUGGUGCCCGUGCGACGACAGGAGAGACGACUGGUGUUCCAUCCAUCGCCUCUUGUAACUCACGUUCGCAGUGAGAUCGCCACGAACGAUCUUCUUGGAUCGAUCUUGAGCCGAUAGGCCGUUGAUUUUUGUUGUCUGAUGGAAGUGGACACGGAGAACGUCGGGAUGGACGAGACGGACGCGCUGAUGAGGGCCGACAACGACAGCGGUGUCCUCAACAGUAAGGACAACGACGACGAUGAUGCGCCCACCGUCGAAGAGACCUACGAGAUCACCACCACCAGACGCAAGACCAUCCGCACCAGUUACAAGAUCCAGGAGACUUCCUCGUCGACCAAAAAAACCACCAUGACGACAGCGGCCAAGCUGUAUGGCAAGGACCUGAGCGAGUAUGAUGACAUUGACGUGGAUAAACUGUUGGCAGAGCUUACGCCAGAGGAGCUUAAUAUAUUAGCCAAGGAAGUGGAUCCUGAUGACAGCUUUAUGCCACCUUCUCAACGUUGCAGUUAUGAAUGCAACAAAAGUCCUACGGGGCCAUUGAAUCGGAAGAAACUUAUUGAGCACAUCAAUAAACAAGCUCUAGAGACACCUGAUAUUCCAGAAUUGAAACCAUAUGUACCUGGUGUAAUUAGAGGCAAAAAAUGGGUACCUCCGCCACAAGAAAACACAAAGGAAAAAGAGGCGGAGGAACAAAUCGCGAUAGAUCUCGGGGAAGAAUAUGAACAAGCACUUUCGGCCGCCACUCAAGAAGAAAUCAUUGAUCUUGCUGCUAUUCUUGGAUUCCAUUCCAUGAUGAAUCAAGAUCAGUAUCACGCAUCUUUAUUGAAUUCUGGGCAGCCAGUCGGUCUCGGUUGGGACGGAGUGACGAAAGCUAGUCAACCGAAAGUUUAUCCGAUGGAACCGCCUAAUGAUACGGAUGUUGAUGCUACCAUUAAGCAAGUGCGGGAUGACGAUUCGUCUCUAACUGAGUUAAAUUGGAACAAUAUUAAAAAUAUUUCGGACGAGAAAUUCAUUCAGUUGUUCGAAGGAUUAGAAAUGAACACACAUCUCGAAUCGUUAAGUUUAACUAACGUUGGACUCAACGAUAAGACCGCACAACGGCUGGCCGAUGCUCUAGAAAAGAAUUCGACACUCAGAGUACUCAACGUGGAGACAAACUUUAUAAGCCCGCCUGUGAUAGUAAGGUUGAUCAGAUCCCUUCUUAAGACAAAGUCCAUCGAAGAAUUCCGAUGUUCGAAUCAGAGGUCACAAGUAUUGGGUAACAAGAUUGAGAUGGAAAUUACACAAUUGGUUGAACAAAACCCGACGUUGUUGCGACUCGGAUUACAUCUUGAGUUCAAUGACGCUAGACAUCGCGUAGCUGCGCAUCUGCAACGCAACAUCGAUAGGAUACGGAAAGAUCUAACGCUGCGGCUACAGUUCCGAUUCUUUAACAUGAACCACAGGAAACCUGCCUUGAUUCAAUGAAAGUACGGCAGUCCCGGCUCGGGGUGGCGACAUCUUAACGCGAAGUGGCGUUCGCCUAGAUCGCCUGCGCCGCAUGGGAAGAGCUUCCCGUAACUACACCAUCGGCUGGGCCAUGCACUGAUGAUGAUCGCCACGGUGAUGGCAACGACGACGACGACGACGACGACGACGACGACGACGAUCGACGGAGAUGACGACGACGAUGAUCGCGCGCGACUUUCUCGCUGCAUCAAGCGCACCGCGCCGUAAAACGGCCUUCACAUACGCGUACUCACAUACACGCACACGUAUACACUCAUAUACGUCAUUUUACACAAUGCAGCGUUGAAUCCUUGGAUCCUCGGAACGCGAGAUCCGCAGAAGGUUCUCCGAAAUCGCGUAUUAACGGACGAUGGAAAUAAUUCGGUUCGACACGCGGAGGAAAUAAGCCGGAAGCUUCGCAUGAUAAAUUAUAUGUGUCUCUCGUCUUUGUUGUUCUAAAUAAAUAUAUAUAAAUAUAUACAUAAAUAUACAUACAUUUAUAUAGAUAUAUAUUCCUGCAUCACACACGGAGCUGUAUUGCGCGAAGGAUACUCUAAUGACGCGUCACGGUGUAAGAAAUUUAGGCCGCCGGAUGAAUAUCGAUAUUAAUGUUAAUUGAGAUUUAUAUAUUAUGUAUACACGUUGCGACGCAUAUGUAAUUGUUGUUAAAUCGUCGAAGAAAAAUUUUGCGGAGGGAAUGAUAACGGGAAGUGAACGCCGGGAGAAGCCGAAGAGACAACCUUUUUGAUAUAAUUGAUAUAAUAUACACGCCGUUCGCCGCUUUUAAACGGUGCAACUUAACCGGAUUAUUUAAAUAUUUAUACACGGAGAGGAGGAGUUCUUUAAUUAAUUCGACCAAACUUUCGACCGAGUGUGAUUGAGCGAUCGGGUACAACCUGUUCUGUGUUCUCCAUCUCCUUUUCUUUCUUUUGUCAAAAUUAUCUUUGUUUGUCUUUCCUGUCUGAUAAAGCAAUUCGUUUCUUAUGCAUCAGAAUAAGUAUGUCCGAGUAAUAGCUAUGUCUGAGUGAUUUUAAUGCGUCUGACCAAGGUAAGUAUCAGAAAAAUUUGUGAGGAUUAGAAAAGAAAAUCUUUUAGAGGAGAUGGAAAUAACUGCCUGAAAUGUAAAAUAAUAAUAAUCGAUUUUGUUAUUUUUAAAGUUACUAUGCUCUUUAACCAUCUUCGUAUUUUUGUAAAUACUAUUUAUCGCUUAAAUGUCGAAACAAAAUUGAUAUUUCGAUUUUGAGACGUGAUAGGUCAUAGCAAUACACGAAAUUAGUCACAAAUAUUUCUCUAAAUAUGAAUGAAGAACGAUACCACCGACCCGAUCGUUCCGCUCGGCAUAUAAUGUCACUAAGUAAUAUUCGCUAAGGUACUAACUCGUUGUUUAAAUUAAUAACUAUUUUAGCAUAUACAUGUAUACAAAUCAGUCUGUACAUAUUGUCUUCAAUGUCGUUUCUAAUCGAUCGAUGUGACCUACGUGUUGUAACGAGAGAGAAUGGAUUUAGUAUAAACGCGCAGAGAGAGAGAGAGAGAGAGAGAGAGAGAGAGAGAGAGAGAGAGAGAGAGAGAGAGAGAGAGAGAGAGAGAGAGAGAAAGGAGAGAGAGAAUGAGAAUGACAUAAUUGUCUCUGUGUGCAUGCGGGUGUGGAUGAAGAGGAGAGAAAGGGGGGAUGCACGGAUAAAGAUAAUUAUCUUUAGGGAUCUUACUGAUGUAGAUCACUCUGAGAUUGUCACCCCGUAUACGUUGCUGUACGCACUCGGGAUAGGUAAGCUCACGAAAAUGCGCGGAUCAAAAGCACCGUUUGAGCGAAAUUAUAAAACUGUUGAGAUUUUAUAUCCUCACGCCGUCGACAGAUUAGAGAUUUAAGUUUCGGAUUUUUCGCAUGCCGACUUUUUAGCUCCAAUUGAUUCCACGAACUCUUCGAGUUCUCCUCGAUUCGAUUAGGAUUUUACGCUUUAAGAAACGUGCAAAGUUCUUCUUGAUAAACGUAGAUCGUGGAGGUGAUAAAGAAAUAAGAAUCGAGAUGUCUAUAAAAAGAAAUAUUGUAAUUUCUGAUUCGCUCACGGCCCUCUUUAUUGUAUUCGCAUAAACGUGUAUUAGCAUAUGCACUCUGUCACACGCGACACAUUACGUACACGAAUAAUACACACAAAAUCCAAAUGCACGCGCACGAUCAAAGCCUUGCUGCUAGCCUUAUCUUGUAACACGAGGUUUAAAAUAAAUUGCUGAAAAACGUA